RNAcentral lists this long non-coding RNA (1533 nucleotides) under Nicotiana benthamiana. RNAcentral's name for it is "long non-coding RNA (NBEN_LNC035201)". Lineage: Eukaryota; Viridiplantae; Streptophyta; Magnoliopsida; Solanales; Solanaceae. The record is from RNAcentral.
CCGGGCAAAAGCGGGUGUAGCCCCAAUUGUGAACUUAUAUGAUAUCAACCUGAAAUUUAAAUGGUUCUUCAACACAUUCUUGAAAAGCACUAUUAUACAAAAUAGAUGAUAUCUGCCAAUAACUAAGUGGGAAUACUAAGUGAAGAAGUCAAAACCAAAUUAAUAAUCCCAAGUUAAAUAUAGAACUAAACUAACAAAAAGAAUAUAAUCAAAUUGAUUAGAAAUUCAAAAUAGAGUAAAUGCAAAUAACGUAGGUUUCCAUAGGAGACCCCAAGCUUUUCGCUUGUUUUUCUAGUUAUCCGGUACAUCUAUAGAAUAUGGUAUGCAAUCUCCAUGCUCGAGUAAUGCUGAGUCUCGAGUGAGACUCAAUUUUUUGCUCCAAGUGCAUAUGCAAAGGAAAAUAAAAAUAAAAUUAGAGAGUUGGUAUUUAAAAAUAUACUCUAAAUUAAUACUACACAGAAUCAUGCACAUAAGAAAAAAAAAUUAGUCAUGCAGACACACAGAAUGCAUUUACUUCUAUUCUAGUUAGUGAACAGUUACAUCUUCGUUAUUAUUAGCUAAUUUCAUUAUUCGUGAUAGUCAUGGGAACCUUUUAAAGGUUUUUUAGUUACAGGUUAAUUAAAAUGCCCUAAACAUGAUUUUUGCCUAUAUAGAAACUUACUCAAGAAUAGGAAUACGAACAAACCGGGAAUAUUCUUAGCAUUUUGGAUCCAGUGGGUAAGCAUAAAAGGAAAAUAUAUACAUUGAUGAAACACAUAUUAGACCAGAAUAAGGCAGCAUCCAUGAGCACGAUCUCUCAAAUUAUAACCUUAAACUCGAGUCUUUACUAAACUUUAUCAUUCACAGAAACUUCAUUAGAAACACAUUACAUUAUACCUAUGUUCGGCUUCAAAAAUUAAAGUACUGGAUGGAUAAUAUGCUUUCAAGGCAUUAUAAAAGGAAAUCAAACAUAGUAAUUUAUAGUAAUUCUUAAAACUAGAAGAGAUCCCAAGGAAAGGUAAAUUUACAGACCUUUUGCAGGGCAGCGAACAAAGGCGGAUCUAGAUGCACUAUCGAACUCCGACCUCGAACCCGCUUGUACUAACAACUAAUGAAUAUUGAAGAAAACAAAUUAACGGAUCUGCUAUGACUAAAAGAGAACCAAAUAGAAGCUUAAAGGCUGCAAAACGAGCUUAAAGGUGUAGCUCCAAAAGAAAUCCCCCAAAAUAGACACAAAUAGGAUGUAUUUGUAGAUUUUAGGGCUAGGGAACCAUUGAGCAUAGGAAUUGAACUAAUCGUUUAAAUUUUGAACAGAAUCAUUUAAACGUUGGAUCAAAUCUUUGAUGCAGGGACCAAAUCUCAUUUUCUGAAAAGUAAUCUUGGCAUUUUGUUAUGAGCCUUGUUUGACCAAGUUUGAUGAAUAAAGAUUCACUAAAAUGGAAUGAUAUUUUCUAGUCUAGGGAUAAAGAUGUUUGGAGUUUUACUAAAAAUAGAAAAAGAACAAAGUGUCUGCAAUGAGAGAGGGACGAGUCUACAGAGGGGACAAAAAGAAAA